Molecule: ribosomal RNA, 440 nt
Filed under: uncultured bacterium
Lineage: Bacteria
Description: partial 16S ribosomal RNA
Rfam family: Bacterial small subunit ribosomal RNA
Source: RNAcentral
CCUACGGGAGGCAGCAGUGGGGAAUAUUGCACAAUGGGGGCAACCCUGAUGCACCGACGCCGCGUGAGCGAAGCAGUAUUUCGGUAUGUAAAGCUCUAUCAGCAGGGAAGAAAAUGCCGGUCCCUGAGUAAGACGCUCAGGCUAAAUACGUGAAAGGAGCCGCGGGACUACGUAUGGAGCAAGCGUUAUCCGGAUUUACUGGGGGUAAAGGGGGCGCAGGGGGCCUUGCAAGUCUGAUGGUAAAUACCGGGGCUCAACCCCGGGACUGCUCUUGAAACUGCAUGGCUGGAGUACAGGAGGGGCAGGCGGAAUGCCUGGUGUAGCGGUGAAAUGCGUAGAUAUUAGGAGGAACACCGGUUGCGAAGGCGGCCUGCUGGACGGUGACUGACGUUGAGGCCCGAAGGCGUGGGGAGCGAACAGGAUUAGAUACCCCAGUAGUC